GCCGUGAUCGUCUAGUGGUUAGGAGAUUGCGUUGUGGCCGCAAUAACCCAGGUUCAUAUCCUGGUCAAGGCA
Molecule: transfer RNA, 72 nt
Filed under: Cordylochernes scorpioides
Lineage: Eukaryota; Metazoa; Arthropoda; Arachnida; Pseudoscorpiones; Chernetidae
Description: tRNA-His
Rfam family: tRNA
About the family: Transfer RNA (tRNA) molecules are approximately 80 nucleotides in length. Their secondary structure includes four short double-helical elements and three loops (D, anti-codon, and T loops).
Source: RNAcentral